GAUGAACGCUGGCGGCGUGCCUAAUACAUGCAAGUCGAGCGAACGGACGAGAAGCUUGCUUCUCUGAUGUUAUCGGCGGACGGGUGAGUAACACGUGGAUAACCUACCUAUAAGACUGGGAUAACUUCGAGAAACCGGAGCUAAUACCGGAUACUAUUUUGAACCGCAUGGUUCAAAAGUGAAAGACGUGCUUGCUGUGACCUAUAGAUGGAUCCGCGCUGCAUUAGCUAGUUGGUAAGGUAACGGCUUACCAAGGCAACGAUGCAUAGCCGACCUGAGAGGGGGAACGGCCACACUGGAACUGGGAGACGGUCCAGACUCCGACGGGAGGCAGCAGUAGGGAAUCGUCCGAGAUGGGCGAAAGCCUGACGGAGCAACGCCGCGUGAGUGAUGAAGGUCUUCGGAGCGUAAAACUCUGUUAUUAGGGAAGAACAUUUGUGUAAGUAACUGUGCACAUCUUGACGGUACCUAAUCAGAAAGCCACGGCUAACUACGUG
RNAcentral lists this ribosomal RNA (497 nucleotides) under uncultured bacterium. RNAcentral describes it as "partial 16S ribosomal RNA". It matches the Rfam family "Bacterial small subunit ribosomal RNA", at positions 28 to 507 of the family's 1533-position model. The record is from RNAcentral.